AGUGAACGCUGGCGGUAGGCCUAACACAUGCAAGUCGAACGGCAGCACAGUAAGAGCUUGCUCUUACGGGUGGCGAGUGGCGGACGGGUGAUGAAUACAUCGGAAUCUACUUGUUCGUGGGGGGUAACGUAGGGAAACUUACGCUAAUACCGCAUACGACCUACGGGUGAAAGCAGGGGAUCUUCGGACCUUGCGCGAUUGAAUGAGCCGAUGUCGGAUUAGCUAGUUGGCGGGGUAAAGGCCCACCAAGGCGACGAUCCGUAGCUGGUCUGAGAGGAUGAUCAGCCACACUGGAACUGAGACACGGUCCAGACUCCUACGGGAGGCAGCAGUGGGGAAUAUUGGACAAUGGGCGCAAGCCUGAUCCAGCCAUACCGCGUGGGUGAAGAAGGCCUUCGGGUUGUAAAGCCCUUUUGUUGGGAAAGAAAAGCAGCAGGUUAAUACCCCGCUGUUCUGACGGUACCCAAAGAAUAAGCACCGGCUAACUUCGUG
This 492-nucleotide ribosomal RNA is filed under the name uncultured bacterium. Its description in RNAcentral is "partial 16S ribosomal RNA". It matches the Rfam family "Bacterial small subunit ribosomal RNA", at positions 29 to 507 of the family's 1533-position model. The record is from RNAcentral.